AUGAGCAAGGAGGAUGUGCUCAAGAUACAGACCUGCGUGCUCAAGGUGAACAUCCACUGCGACGGGUGCCAGAAGAAGGUGAAGAAGAUCCUCAGCAAGAUCGAUGGCGUGUACCAGAGCACCAUCGACCCGGAGGAGGGCAAGGUGAUGGUGUCCGGGCUGGUGGAUCCGGACACCAUCAUCAAGAAGCUCAACAAGGGCGGCAAGCCCGCUGUGCUCUGGGGCUCCAAGCCCGGCGGCGUCGCCAACCAGUUCCAGAAGCUCCACCUCGACGGUAACGGCGGCGGUGGUAAGGGCCAGCAGCCCAAGGACGCCGGCGGCAAAGGCCAUCCCAAAGAUGCCGGCGGCAAGGCCCACAAGGGCGGCGGCAAGGACGCCAAGAUGGCGAUGCCGCAGCCGACCCCGCAGCAGAUUCAGCAAAUGCAGCAGCAGAUGCAGAUGAAGGGCGCGCCGACCCCGCAGCAGCUCCAGCAGCUGCAACAGCAGAUGCAGAUGAAGGGUGCGCCGACGCCGCAGCAGCUCCAGCAGCUGCAGCAGCAGAUGCAGAUGAAGGGCGCGCCGACGCCUCAGCAGAUGCAGCAGCUGCAGCAGCAGAUGCAGAUGAAGGGUGCGCCGACGCCGCAGCAGCUCCAGCAGCUGCAACAGCAGAUGCAGAUGAAGGGGCUGAAGCUGCCGCCGCAGUUCAUGGGCGCCGCCGCGGCCAAGAUGCCGUUCCCGGCGGGUGCGCCGGCCAAGGACCCCAAGUCCGUCAAGUUCAACCUCCCCGAGGACGGCUGGGGCGACGACGGCGGCAGCGAGUUCGACGACGAGUUCGACGAAUUUGACGAUGACGAAGAUUUCGACGACGAGGGCUUCGAAGACGACUACUACGACGACCCCAAGAUGAUGAUGAAGCAGAUGGCCAUGCCGCCGAACGCCGGCGGGGGCGACAAGAAGGGCGCCGGCAAUGGUGGGAAGAAGGGCGGUGGAGGAAACGAGAUCCCUGUGCAGAUCAAGGGGAACGGCAACAACGGCGGCGGCAAGAAAGACGCGGGUGGCAAGCAGCAGCACCAAGGUGGCAACGGCAACGGCAACGGCAACGGCGGCGGUAAGAACGGAGGCGGUGGUGGGCAGCCGAACAACGUCAAGGGAGGAGGAGCGCCGGUCCAGGGAAAAAAGGGCGGCGGUGCUGGUGGCCCGGCCCCAGGCAUGGGUGGCCCGAUGGGCGGCGGCAUGCCGCCGCAGCAGCAGGCCAUGUUCAGGCCUAACAUGAUGGGCGGCGCCGGUUUCCCCGGCAUGGGCGGUCCAAUGGGCCACCCGCACGCGGCGAGCGGCGCGCAGGCUGGCCGCGCCAUGCAGGGCAUGCCGCCGGCUGGGCUUUACCAGGGCGCUGGCGGCGGCAUGCCGUCCGGGGCGGAGAUGCUUCAGGCUGCGGCCGCGGCCGGGAACCCCAUGGCGCAGCAGCAGUACAUGCAACUGAUCCAGCAGCAGCAACAGCAGCAGCAGAUGGCAAUGCUGCAGCAACAGCAGCAGCAGCAGCAAAUGAUGAUGGUGAACGGCGGCCAUGGCGGCGGCGCGGGAGGGUACCCGCAGAUGGGCUACGGGCCAGGGUACGGGCGUCCGCCGAUGGGCUCGUACCCGAUGCCAACCGCCUAUGCGAUGCCGCCGCAGCCACCAGCGGGGGAGCCUUACAACUACUUCAGCGACGAGGACCCCAACAGCUGCUCGGUGAUGUGA
Molecule: ribosomal RNA, 1716 nt
Filed under: Triticum aestivum (bread wheat)
Lineage: Eukaryota; Viridiplantae; Streptophyta; Magnoliopsida; Poales; Poaceae
Description: partial small subunit ribosomal RNA
Source: RNAcentral